This 250-nucleotide ribosomal RNA is filed under the name uncultured prokaryote. Its description in RNAcentral is "partial 16S ribosomal RNA". It matches the Rfam family "Bacterial small subunit ribosomal RNA", at positions 524 to 773 of the family's 1533-position model. The record is from RNAcentral.
UACGGAGGAUACAAGCGUUAUCCGGAUUUAUUGGGUUUAAAGGGUGCGCAGGCGGACCGCUAAGUCAGGGGUGAAAAGUUCGUGCUUAACAUGAAUCGUGCCUUUGAUACUGGCGGACUAGAGUGCGAUAGGCGUGGCCGGAAUGUGAUGUGUAGCGGUGAAAUGCUUAGAUAUGUCACAGAACACCGAUCGAGAAGUCAGGUCACGAGUUCGCAACUGACGCUCAUGCACGAAAGCGUGGGGAUCAAAC